Molecule: long non-coding RNA, 5619 nt
Filed under: Brassica napus (rape)
Lineage: Eukaryota; Viridiplantae; Streptophyta; Magnoliopsida; Brassicales; Brassicaceae
Description: long non-coding RNA (BNAP_LNC016845)
Source: RNAcentral
AAAUCACGAUCUACAACGAGAGAAGAGAGAAAUUACUGAGCUCUAGGCUGAAAUUCAUUUACACCAGAGCCUGAUAACGAGCCCUAACUCGAGACACGAAACGAUCUGGCGAUGAAAGCGAAGGUCAACUGAUGAGAUAAUACGCCGUCACUGGAGAACCUAAUCGAGGAAAGUUUCUAGAAAUUCGCGGCGCUGAUCUUAAAUUCGGGAAGGCGGGAGAGGAUAACAGACGUCGAUGAUCGGAACCCUAAUUUGGGAAGGCAUUGUGUUGGAUCUGUGAUUGGGAGGUGAAGAAUCUGAGGGCGAAGAAGCGCAGCAGCGAAAUGUGAAUGUUGUUUUUAAUCCAUGGAGAUAUGGUUUUUCCCAUUUUCUUUUUUUCUUUUUUAAUUAUUAUUUUACUAAAAACAAUAGUUUCCCUAAAUAAAAAUAAAAACUAUGUAUAUAUUAUAUUCUUUUUCAUUUCUGUUGUUGUAAAAGUAUAUAUAUAUUAUAUUCAUUUUCUUUACUAUAUGCAAGUACCAACAAUAACAUUAUAUUCUUUUUCAUUUUUUGGUUGUAAAAGUAUCUAAAAUUAUUCAAAAAAUCCCUACUCUUGUGUUAUAUAGCAUCCAAUAAAUUUUUUUUUUUUUUUGGUAAAAGCAUCCAAUAAAUUUGAUAUGAAUAAGUUGUGUUUACUUGUUUCUUUGAAUAAUUUGAGAUAUUGAUGACAUGUUUCUAAUCUUCAUUUACAUCAGUCAAUUAUAUUACUUCUAUUUAAGGUCAAACAGUUGAUCAAAUUAACCUUCUGUUUUUUUAAAAAAAAAUUGAACUAUUAUUUUGUCUUCGUCUUUUUCAGUUCAUUGUGCAUGGUAACUUAAAAGAAAAUGAAUCAUUACAGCCUACACCAAGCUACUGUCGGGUUAACAUCUAUAUAUAUAAGGAGAAAGUAGUCGUAAUGUCAUAAGAGGAUUGCAACAUUUGAGGGAGAAGGGACUCCAUGUUCAGACAUAAACGUGUUACCAUCGUCCAGUACACACACUUCUCAGAAGACCCGUCGUAUCCAUGACCAUAUAAUUUUAGCUGCAUCAGGUUGCGUAUAUCAGUGAACAAACUAUGACUACACUUGUUACCUUCUUUUUUUGCUACGAAACAUUUGUUAUUUGACAAGCUUGGACUUCAACUCAUGCAAUUUACAUAAUAGUCUAAUAACAUAUGGUCUGGCUAUUUCCGACAAUAAACUCAGGUUAGAUGGUGUGUUAUCUAUUCUAUUUAUUUUCACUGGCCGGAUCAGUCGAUAGGAUAUAUAACGAAACUAUAACUACAUUUUCCAGAAGACUAUAAAAGCUAUAUACAGCAUAAUCCAAAAUAUGUUCUGGUUGUUUGUUAGGUUGGUAAAGCCACAGCUUCUAGAUUCACUUGCAAGCAGUGGCGGAGGGGGGCAUCUGCCCCCAACUCAUUCCGAAAAUCCUAUGUAAAGCAUUGACUAAUUUUAAAUAUCCCCUUCUGUUUUAACAAAUAUGACCUUAGUUUUAUGAACAGUUUUAAUUAUGCCCCCUACAAACUUUUUCUUUAGCUCCGCCCCUGCUUGCAAGUUGUAAGCACUAUAAACACAUAGAUACUUUGAUUGACACAAACUAUUUUAAUUAUCUAAUACGAGACGGUUAGGUCAAAGGCCGCGCAAGGCUUAAAUAAAAUAAAGAUGGGCGAUAUAUAUGUAUAGCAUAGGUAAGUAAGAGUAGGUCAACAUCAUUCAAGGUCAAAAAUGAUAAAACCAAUCAGUGGUGAAAUCUCAACUGGUCCUAUAUGAUGAUUCAAGGUUAGAGUUUAUAAAUGGUCUCUACAAUCUACAUGACGCUUCGCAGGUGUUAGAGGCAAUCUAUGGACCCAAACUUUCUAAUCUUAUUUAUCUUUCACUUUUUGUUAGUAACCUAGUUUUGAAAAUCGUCAUAAUAUUUAAUUACCUAAUAUAUACAAUGCAGACAAUCGUUGAAUCCAGCAUAUAUAUAUCUGAAGCUUUUUACUUUGAAGGAAAUAAUUCUAAAGAAGUUGGGUCCGAAUUUAUAUGUUUAUACGAAGAAAAUCCGAAUUUAGAGAGGAACGGCCGAUGAGAAAACAAUAUAAAGAGGUGUUUUUUUUGGGUCUAAAACGGAAGCUUUGAUUAGAAAGGAUCAGUUACUCAGUUGCAGGUACAAAAGAGAGAAAAAAAUACAGUGCUGAUUUUGCCAAAGAAUCAGCGGUGGAGUUUGCUAAACGCGGAAUAAAAUUAAAUGAGAUAGCUUCGAAGGAGUUUGCCAAGAUUCUGAUAUCAUGGAGAAUUCCCUUCAAGACAACAUCGCUUUCCUGAGAUUUCAGGAGUAGAACGAGCGCCUUAGAGUCUGAAAAUACAUUGAGACAUCUAACUCGUGUAGAGACCAAAGUUGCCUAUGGAUGAAUAACAUCAUCUUUAUUGCUAUUUUUUCGUCCACUUGAAAUAGAGGUGAGGCCACGACAUUACUUGAUUUAUGCAUCUGCCUUUACAUUACUUGAUUUAUGCAGCUGCCUUUAUCUUGGUUGUACUAGAAUAGAUAUGAUGUUGCAUUAAACUCGGUUGUACUAGAAUAGAUAUGCAGCUACAGUUACAGUCAUUGUACAAAAGUAUUUUUUCUUUGAAUAAAUUUAACAUUCAUUCAAAAAAAAAAAAAGAAUCAAAAGGAAAACCUAAUCUCGUAUAUGUUUCUACAUAGUCCCCAAGCUCUGAAAUAUCUUUUACGAAUUAGUUGUUUUCUUACUACCUUUUUCUAUUAGGUAGUUGUUUUCUUACUACCUAAUAGUAAAUAAAUCAAAGAGACAAAAGAUGAUAUCAAAUAGAUCUUUUCUUUUUCUCGAAGAAGUUUUGACAUACCUGCAUCUAAUUCUUGAUGGGUAUCAAGUGCAUCAACUUUAAAAAAAUCAAUAGCUGAAUGUAAAAUCAUCAUACUAAGUUAUUAUAUUCUUUUAUGUCCAUGCUGCAAUGGUUGUAUGCAAAUCAUCAUAAUAAGCUUUUAUAUUUCACAUGGACUUGUCCUCUUCAUCUUUCUUUCUGUCUUCUCAAUGGGCACAUCAGAUGUGGUGUGUACUUGUGGAUACCUUAAAAUAUUCGCGCUCAUGGUUCCCAAGGCAACCCUGCCUGCCUGUGCAGGAGCUCAAUGCCGCGAUUCCAUGGUUUGAGCCAGUGGAAGCCAACAUGUAUCCCAGAAUCAUUAAGUACUUGGAUGUCAGAUAUAGCAUUGUUAAGGUUUUAGUACAUAGCAAUGGUGUAUUACCACAUUGGUAUACUAAUGGUUUAAAUGUACUAAGGAAUGUUACUAUCUUCGUAUGGUCAUUGCUAAAUAAAGAUCUUGAUGUUUGUGAUAUCAGCUUUUGUCUCUUCGAACUAAUCUCUUAUAUAUGUUAAAUGUUCAAUUUUAGUUGAUUAGAGCAAGAACAUAACAUAGUUGAGAAGUGGUCCCAAGAAAACUCUACAUAAACUAUUGGCUGCAUCUUUCUUUGAUGAAAUUUUUCUAAAUUUCUUUUUCUUAUUUGAUGAUUUAAAAUCACCCGAUUUGCAGAUAACCAUAAAGCGAGCAUGUCAUAAGAUAUACAAAUCUUGAAAAAAAUUAUAUAUAAUUUUAGGUUUAGUGUACCCAUGAGGUGGUGGUCCUUAAAAUCUUGGGGUCAUUUUUUUUGAAUUCUGGACCUAAUACCCUCUCUACGCAAACCCUAGACCGUUUUGACUAUUCAGCUUUGCGACAAACAAAACAAGCCCAUCUCCCGAAUGGUUGUGCUAGGUUUGAUUGGCUGUUUUUUUCUUUGGCAAAGAAAAAAAUAUUGACUUGAACUAAAAAAAAUUUUUUUGGUGCUUUGCCCAUUAAUAUGAACUAAUUACGUUCUGACUUCACCAGAACUCACCAAGAAUCCCAUUUCUAAUAAGAACUCAUUUAAAUGGUUAUGUUUUAAUCCUCCUUUAUCUUGGUUUACAUUAGCCUCAGGCUCAAACAGCAUAUGGGGAUGAACAUUAUCAUAGAUCAAGCCACUGAAUAAGACAGUACAUCGAUCUAUGCAUUGUGAUAUAUACACAUAAAACUCUUCCCUUUUUCCUAUUUAUUUUCAUGGAUGCAUCCUUAGAUCGAUCUUUGGGGUGAGACGCAUUAUAAACCUCUUAUUUUCUUACUAACUUACUACUUUUCAUACCUAAGAUUUAUAAAAAAGAAUAUCAUCUUGCUAGCUUGAGCCUUGUUUCUGCUGUCUUUCUCACCUCUCCACUGGUUCAAUAUUUUCUUUGAAGAAGAAAUCUCAUAGCUUUAUUUAUGUGUAGAAAAUUACAUUUAUAAAGCAAAUGUAAACAUAUACAAUGUAAUAAAGAUUCAGCAUUAACAUUAUAUAAUCCUCUUAUUCUUCUCUCUACAGAUCUUUCUUGGCUUAAUAGUACAUGAUUCAGGUCACAUAGAUUUAUCUCAACGAGCCGAAGAGCUGCUUCCUUUCUCCAAAACUCUACUAUAACCACUUGUGAUGUUUAGUUCUCUCUCAUUUCCACUAUCGUUGCUGCUUUUGUUGUUUUCAGCUCUUUCUCGCUCGGCCUCACGGUACUUGUGAAGAUACCUCCCCACGGCGUCAGCAUAGUUAUCGAGGCCUAGAGUACUUAGAGCCCACCAGAUGUCGUCUCCAUUCACCGUCUUUCGAUUCUCCCUGUGGCACUUGUCUGAGGCUUCGCAGGUAACAAAGCUGAUGAACUCUGUUGCACACUCUUGAACUGUUUGUUUUGCUUCUUUUGAGAUCUUUGCAUUUGAUGGUAGGAUCUGCUUCAUAAGUCUCCCUACAUUGGCUAUUGGUAGCAAUCUAUCUUCAUCGGCCAUUUUUUUCUCUUCUUAUUGAGUUUAUCAACUUUAGUCUCUCUUAUCACCUUUUUAUACAAGUGAUCCAACAUAUGGUCCUCUCUAUAUAUGUAGAUGUGUAUGUAUGUGUAUGUGUAGUAUGAGUAUAUGUAUAUGUCCUAUGAUGUCCUUGCACUUGACUAUACCCCUUAACUCUAAUAUAUUACAUGCUAUUUUAAGAUUCUGUGUCACUAUGGAUGUGUGUAUGUGAAGCUUAUAUAAGCAUAAUAUAGUAUGCUGUGAAUGUAAUUAGUUAUCACCAUCUUCAUUUUUAUCAUUGAUUUAGACCAUGAUUAACCCCAGUCUCUUAACUGGGGUUCUUAGAUUCGGUUAAGAGACGGUUCUUAACUUUUCUUAGAUUUUAACUAAGAAAAACUAAGAACCGUCUCUUAAAUAAGAAAUAUAAGAGUCGUAUUUUAUCCGAAAAGUAUAAAAAAAAAAAAAACCAAAAAGUGUCAAGGGAGUUCCGAAUUCGAUUAAGCUAUCACAAACCCGAGGCACCAGUAAUCGAAACCCUAGAAGCCCAAAUCACGAUCUACAACGAGAGAAGAGAGAAAUUACUGAGCUCUAGGCUGAAAUUCAUUUACACCAGAGCCUGAUAACGAGCCCUAACUCGAGACACGAAACGAUCUGGCGAUGAAAGCGAAGGUCAACUGAUGAGAUAAUACGCCGUCACUGGAGAACCUAAUCGAGGAAAGUUUCUAGAAAUUCGCGGCGCUGAUCUUAAAUUCGGGAAGGCGGGAGAGGAUAACAGACGUCGAUGAUCGGAACC